This 253-nucleotide ribosomal RNA is filed under the name uncultured bacterium. Its description in RNAcentral is "partial 16S ribosomal RNA". It matches the Rfam family "Bacterial small subunit ribosomal RNA", at positions 524 to 776 of the family's 1533-position model. The record is from RNAcentral.
GACAGAGGGUGCAAACGUUGUUCGGAAUUACUGGGCGUAAAGCGCGUGUAGGCGGCAGGGCAUGUCGGAUGUGAAAUCCCGUGGCUCAACCACGGAAGUGCACCCGAAACUGCCCAGCUUGAGUCUCGGAGAGGAAGGCGGAAUGCUUGGUGUAGAGGUGAAAUUCGUAGAUAUCAAGCAGAACACCUGCGGCGAAGGCGGCCUUCUGGACGGUGACUGACGCUGAGACACGAAAGCGUGGGGAGCAAACAGG